Molecule: non-coding RNA, 4869 nt
Organism: Physcomitrium patens
Lineage: Eukaryota; Viridiplantae; Streptophyta; Bryopsida; Funariales; Funariaceae
Source: RefSeq, a predicted model, not a curated record
GAUCCGGCAGGGGAAAGGGAAGAGCUGGUAGACGAUGAAGAAGAGGAGCUAUGUCGCUUUGGCAGUCUUAGAUGCUGCUGCGCUAGGGUUUCAUUGUCAUCGUCACUGUCGCCAUCGCCAUGGCGUAGUACCAUAGCCUAGCAUAGCAUGGCAUGGCAUGGCAUCGCACACAGCAGUAGCUUCAGACAUAAGUUAGCAAUCGUGUUGCCGUUACUCCGUUUUUGCUCACGAACGUCGUUGCGUUACCAUCGCAUGUCGAUGGUGUUUUGAGACUGUGCAUGGGAUGGGCCGUGGUUUGAUCAUUCUUCUUCUUCGGCUCUCACUCGUGUGGAUUGCGUUUCUCUGUGAUCCUGUCUGUAUUACCGAGAGUAGUCCGAGUAUCGGUGUCUGGUUUCAUGGUGGUGCUCUAGCAGGGGAGGGGCGUUGCUGGGAUGACACUCCUGGUCAGUUGGUUGCGCCUGAGGUUGUAGUUGGAAGGAGCCCGUGGCUAUAGUAGUGGUUGAUUCCCUUGGCUGCCUGCCAACUCUUGUUAUUGUGGGAAGAGUAGUUGGAAUGAGUUGUUAAGGGGAACACUAGGGUUUCGCAUAUCAAGGUGGGAGUUUAGGUGCAUUUUGUGUCGGGUUUUUUCUUAGUGCUGUGUAGUGAAGGCAGUAGGGUUGGUGGCAACGGACUUUGGUUGACACGGAGAUUAUGGGGAUUAAUGACUGCUAGGGUGGCUUUGUUGCGUCUUCCGUACUGUAGUGGUCUCUUCUUUUUCGUUGAGUGAAGCAUGAGAUAGCCAGAACAACACGCAAUCCGCUGAUUCUUUCUUUCGGCUGGAUUUUCUCUGGUGUUGUAUUGAAGCCGUGACCUUAAAUUUUAAAAGGUCCUGUUUAGUGACUUCGUCGUUGCACCUGGGGAGCUUGUUGUUUGGAAUCAGGGUUUCUUGCCUACAGCUGCACCAACGAGACCUUGUCGUUAGUUUAUUUUAGUUUAUUUUAUUUUAAACGUGAUGCACUUCCCAGCGCCAUCUAUAUCUCGGGUUUGCAACUUUGAAGAGAUAACUCAGCUUAGGAACAACAUUUAUUCUUUGCACGGAGGGUCUUGGGCUCCGCACCGACAACUUUUUAAAUGUGCUGAAGUUUUACAUGUCUCACCGAGUAGCUCUUGUUAUUGGAAAUCGUAUCUUCACUUCUCUGGGGUCAAGUGUGCACUUGGUACAGUGCUAUUAUUAAGCUUCAUUUCUCCUUGUAUACUUUAGUGGCCAGUGUGCUGUUUUAUUACUGCCGCCAUCAUUACCGUCGACUCUACGACUUGUCGGUAUUCCUUAACUGCACUAUCUUGCCGGGCCUUUUUCUGUACAUCAAGUGCAAUGAUAUGUUUUCAAUUAAAAUCAAUUCGGCAUUAUGCCCAUCAUUUUAUAACUUCAGCUUCAGCGAGUCAAACAUAUGACUGGCAUGCCUCUUGGUUCCAAUUGGCCGAUUUCUAUUUCUAGUUCCUCUUUCUGGCAUUGUGAUUGGAUGGCGGAGAGGAUUCUGGUUUUGCACAUCACACUUGAAGCAACUAUCUAGGUUAAGGGGGCAGAAGUUUACAUUUUGAUUGAAACUGGAACAUUACCAAGUUGGAUUCAAAUAGUGGAACUGAAACUUUGCUGCUGCUAGCAAUGGCGGACUUAGCUUCUCGCUGCCGGAACCAGUUGGGUUCAUUUCGCAUUAGGGAACUUAAAGAUGUUCUUGCACGACUGGGCCUUCCCAAGCAAGGGAAAAAGCAGAUCCUCAUGGAGAAGAUCAUGGGUUUGAUUAAUCCGGUUGAGAAGCAAUCGCUAACGAAAGGUUCCAAGAGUAGCAAAAAAGUUGUUUCAAGGGAAGAAGCCAUCGCUGUAAUUGAUGAACAGUACAGGAAGCUUCGAAAUUCUGGAGCUGAAUUAUCUAGGUAUAAAUCUGCGAAAUCUGGAUCUAGCAGCGUUUACCCUUCAGCUGGGCAUGAAGAGCGCAGAGUGCAUGAUGAGACUAAAGUUCAUUGCCCUUGUGGGAGUAGCGUGGAAACCGGAAAAAUGAUUCAGUGUGUUGAACCUAAAUGUCGGAUCCGGCAGCAUAUGAGUUGCGUAGUUUUUCCGGAGAACACAGUGGAUGGAGAUGCGGUUGUGAUGCCCCCGAACUUCUAUUGCGAGCUUUGCCGCAUAUCCCGGGGAGAUCCAUUCUGUGUAGCAGUUUCACAUCCUCUACUGCCUGUAAAGCUUCUUUCAUCCACAGUCAAAACGGAUGGAACCAACACUCUCCAGAACAUAGAUCAGCAGUUUACUUUGAGUGCCGCAGACCAUGGACUUCUUCAGAAACCACAUCAUGAUCUGCAGGUCUGGUGUGUCCUCUUAUGCGACAAGGUUUCCUUUCGCAUGCACUGGCCUUCUUACGCUGAUUUACGAGUAAAUGGCAUGAACGUGCGGGUUACUAAUCGACCUGGUCAGCAACUGUUAGGAGCGAAUGGCCGGGAUGAAGGACCUAGUAUCGCUGCAUGUACCAGAGAGGGAAUAAACAGGCUGAUCAUGUCGUCCUAUGACGCUCGCCCGUUCUGUUUGGGAGUGCGAAUCAUCCGCCGCCGCUCUCUGGAGGAGGUUGUUAGUAUUAUCCCUAGUGAGAGGGAUGGAGAGCCUUUUGAAGAGGCGAUGGCCCGAGUUCGUCGAUGCAUCAAUGGAGGGGGUGGUCAGGGAUUAGGGGCGGACGGUGACGGUAGUGAUAGCGAUUUGGAAGUUGUGGCGGAAUCUAUCUCUGUUAACUUACGCUGUCCGAUGAGUGGGUCACGAAUCAAGGUUGCUGGUCGUUUUAAGCCAUGUCUACAUAUGGGUUGCUUUGACCUUGAUACAUAUGUGGAAAUGAAUCAGCGAGCACGGAAGUGGCAAUGUCCAAUUUGUCUGAAGAACUAUUCUAUAGAACAUUUAAUCAUUGACCCUUUUUUCAAUCGGAUUACAAACGCGGUGAGAACUCUGGAUGAAGACAUCACUGAGGUGGAGCUUAAAGCUGAUGGUUUUUGGCGGCCCAAACUGGAAGGGAAUGCUAGGAAUGGGGAGCCUUGGCGUCCAUCACCAGCCGCUGCUGCAGCAGCUGUUACCAAUGGGAUCAAAUCAGUACCUGUGUUGUUUCCUAACCAUCAUAUCAAGGUUGAAGAGGGACUGUCUUCUCAUGACCAUCGCGCUUUGCGAUUUAGGCGGACGUCUGAAGGCCAAUGGGCUUUGAAUGGGACGAGGCGCCUCAAUGCUAAUCCUAACCAUCAAGUUAUGCCCUUAGCUAGACUUUCAAGAAGCAGCAGUGCUACUGACAGUAAUUUAAAAGGAGACGAGGAUGAGCACAGUGUGAAUCAAGACCCAAGUGAGAAGAAUGUUAUGUUCAUGGAUGAUAACGAUGAUGCUGAAUACUCAUCAAAACCUCGGAAUGAGCCUGGAGUAACGUGGCAAACUAGCUGUGAUGAGCCUGCAAAUGGAGCUGAUGUAAUUGUUCUUAGUGAUACAGAUGAUGAAGGUGCAGAAGAAGAAGCCGUUGUUGGGUCCUCUGGGGCAUCAAUGUACGCGGAAUCUGAUGUUGGCAAUGGGCGAGUGCGUUCUUCGGAGGUUAGCAUACGCAAUGAUACGAAUGGCGAUUCGUCAGGGCUUGCUCUUGGUUUAGAUAGUACCGAUGUCACUCUUGCAAGCAACUCAGCAUGUCUUACAUUUGGCUCUCUGCUGAGCACUAGAGUUCCUGAUGAAGGGACGAGUAACAAUAGUGGGUUAGGCUUGCAGUUAGAUAACAAUAGCUUCUGGACAGUACCUGCUGCAAUUCCUAGGUACUAUGGUACCCCAGCAGAGACGGUUGGGCUGCAGCGUCCUUCUCUUGUGCGGCCAACACCACUGCAAGCUGGAGCUGGUCCUGGAUUUCUGUCUACUUCCCUUGUCAGAAACGAUUCGUUGCAAUCGGGCUGGAAAAGUUUCAGAGAGUCGCAUGCUCCCAUACAUUAUGGGAUUACAGAUGGUUGUAGUAUGGACAAUGACACAACUGCUUCGCCUCUGCAAAAUUUUCUGCCAGCGCAGCCAGCUCGAGCUGAGACAUUCUUGCAGGUCCAAGAAAAUUUACGGGAGCCAUUCCUUCCUGAAGAAGAUAUCGACAAUUCUUGGUUUUCCCUUAGUCUUGGUGGAGGAGAAAAUCUGGUUAAAUCAACUCCAACACAGAAUCCACGUACUAGUUCAAUGGAACGCUAUUCGCCAAUUCUUCAACCGAGAGUUGCUGAAAUUGAUCCCCAGGGUAGAGGUCUUGAUAACAAUGGAUCGUCCCAACGCCUUGUAGACUCACGACCUCCAGUGCGCAGUCAUUUUACCGCAGACGGCCAUCCUUUUCCUGUAAGGCCACGUAGUAGCCCCAAUCAUGCACGAAGGGUUUACAGCCAAGUUCGGAUGGAUGAUUCUGAGUAGAUUAGAAGCUCCACUCUUGUCUGCUAGUAGACCGUGACAAGAUUGUGCAAAAUACGUCUUGAUUCUGCAUCAACUGCAGUCUCUCCAGGCAACUGUUGUUGUGUAGUGAGGCAUAUUCCUCUCUACUUGGAAUCGAAGGAGCGUGGCAAGCAUCUACAUUUGGCGACUUUGCUAGUUACCAUGCCCAGUUUCUUGUCUACUACGCUACUCUCAGGACUUGAAGAACAUAAAUGGAGUUUCGACUGUGCAAGUUCGCUGCAUUACCAGUUCAGGAUUGUACCUUAUUGCUUACAGGGAGUUAAGGCAGAGAGUGGCUUCAUGCCUAUGCACCUUUUGUUGAGUUUGUAAUAUGAAAUUGUACAAUAUGUGCUACCUUGAAGAAGAUAGUUCACCCAUGAUUAUUGUAUAUAGUUCCCCGAGGGAGAUAUAACAUAAUUUUAGAGGAAUUCACUUAA